CACAAAGGAAAUUCAAAGAGGGUUUUCCCUUUUAUGAGAAAAAUCGAAAAGCGCAAAUAGCAUUCAGCGAUUGCAGCGAGCUAAGCCAUUGCAGAGGCAGCAUGCACCCUGGGUGGCGAGUGGCACCACCUGCCCAAACUAUACUCUGCAUCUCUGCAUCAAGCCGCCAGAACUUUGAACUGUGCCUGUGAGCAUCUCUGCUUCAUCUCCGUUUACUUCGUGCAUCCAUUAGCAAGAGGUGUCCUAAGCAUUUUUUUUUUUUCCAAAGCAUGUUCUCUAAGACAUUGGCCCUGAGAGAUGCUCUGAAAAAAAAAAAAAGAAGAAGUUUGGAGAGAUGCAGCAUACUCUGCCCUGCUUUUGCAGGGUCCCAGGGCCCACUGGGAUGAAGGCACUGAGAAGGCCUGCAGCAUUUCCCAAAGUAUGCUUUAUCCUCAGAGCACUUGUUCCAAAUGGGAGAACAGACUCCAAGACUGGAGGGGAGAUCAGGCUCAGGCAGGAGGCACCUCCUCCAAUAGCCCAUUCACUCACCAGCAGGAGAGCCCUUCCCUGUGCACUUAUGCAUGGAGCCCUUCCCACACCGCUAUGUGCUGGGGGCUUCCCUCGGUGACUACACCUCCUACCUGUCCAGGAGUCCCUGAUACACUCAGCAUCCCCAGAAUGGACCACUCCUGCAAGUUCCCAGGCCGAGAACAAGACCAGCUACAGAGAGGCGGGAACAGACUCUGAGGAAGGAGGCUGUACUUAUGCAGAGCCGCUUCAGACCACAGGAGGUCCGAUCACUGAAGCAGCACAGGAGCAGCCUGCGCAAGGCCAGGUAGGCUGACUACAGGGGGAGUCGAGUCAAGGAGGAAGGCUGGCUCCUUCCUCUCUUUCAAUUCUGGGACGCAGGAAUGCCCUUGGGGAAACAUGAGUGGCCUUGGCUGGGCCCUCCAGAAGCAAACCCCUGUGACAGCACCCACCCACUUUACUGAGAUGGGCUUACCUGUCUGGUUCUCCAGACAGAUGGGACCCCACGCCAGAUGUUCCAUCUGUGGAUCUGUCCCCAGUGCCCAUGUACAUCUAUUCCACGACAGGAACUAGAUGCAGAUUUAUUGAGUAUGUGUUAGAUUUGGGUCAGUCAGUAGCUGCUACAGGUUGGGUUCCCCAGGAAGCAGGCUCUGAGCUAGAAAUUAGAGAUUAGUGUUCUGAUCAUCCAGACCUACAGGAUAAUGGCAGAAAGCAGACAUGGCCAAAGGAGAAAUCAGGGUUCAAUGAAGUCAUGGCCUCAGCUGGCCCCAUGGGAAAGCGCUGAAGCUGAUGGCCCCCAAAGGGGUCCUGCAUUUAGGCAAAGUGGCUGGGCUUCUCCACCUCCACACAGUCAGUUAGUGGAGGUGGGAUUCCCUGGGGAGAAGGCAUGACCUUGACAAUGCAGGGCUCUCGCUCUCUCUCUCUCGCCCUCACUCCCUCGCUCGCUCGCUUUUUUAUUUAUUUAUUUUUUCUUUUUAGGGCCAUACCCGCAGCAUAUGGAAGUUCCCAGACUAGAGGUCGAAUUGCAGCUGCAGGUGCUGGCCUACACCACAGCCAUAGCCAUGUGGGAUCUGAGCCACAUCUGCGACCUACACCACAGCUCACAGCAACACCAGAUCCUUAACCCACUGAUCGAGGCCAGGGAUCCAACCUGAGUCCUCAUGGAUACUAGUUGGGCUCAUUACCGCUGAGCCAUGAUAGGAAUGCUGCAGCUCUCUUUAGACUCCUAAAGAGGGCUGACCAUGGAGCCCUUAUCAGCUGACAGUCUUCCCAGCAUCUGGAGGAGAAAGUCUUGUGGUCCUGCAGGGGAGUCCUGGGUGCCCAGGACAGAUCACAGCAGUCCAUACUGCCGACCCCACCCCCAGCUUUGCCACCCACUGAUCUGGGCCUUUCUUCUCCUCUUGGUCCCUCUGUCCAGGCCAGCUCUCACCUUCCCUCUUUCAGUUUUCCUUAGUGCAGGCCAGGGGCUCCUCCAAGGGGCAACCCUUGCCUGGGGGCUGGAGCAGGACAUGGUCCCAGUCUGUGUUCAACCUGGUACUCUAGGAACCUGGAGCAAAGAGAGCCUCGGACUGCUCCUGUGGGAUACCCCACCUGGGCUCCCCUUGACCAUAUGCAGAAGGAGCAUUUGAGAUGCCCCCCAUCAGGUCCUGAUCUCUGGACUACGGACUCUGACUCUCAAUACAUGUUGUGCCUGCACCCUUAUGCCUGGAGGAGUACCACCUCUUCCCUGCCUCCCCUGCUACCUGUCCUGGACAUAGCCCAGCAGCCCUGCCGUGAACCAGGAGGGCAAGCACCCAACCCCACUGCAGCUGUCACUGAAGAGCAUCUUUGAGGAGGGGAGAAAUUGGGCUUUAUGGGACCGUGGCUCAAGUUUUGGGACAGGAACAGUUGUGUGCAUUUAUGUAGGCUCCCCCAGCAUCCAUUUCUUCUGUAAAUGAGAGGCACAGAGGAGACACUUGAUAACUGUUUGUGGAGCACAUUGGGAGGGUAUGGCGUGGACAAUGCUGCUGGGCAACACCAAGCCAGCAAGUGUCAGACCAGGGCUGGGAUCGGAGCGAGCAGACAGCACGGUGGUUAAGAACGAGGGCACAGCCUGCCAGGUCCUCAUCCAACACACACCAGCCAGGUGACUUCCACAACUUGCCACACCUUCUGCUGUUCAUGUCCUCUUUGUGAAGCUGGGAUGAUGGGGCUCCGCUCAGGGUGCUCCCCCCCGGGGGUGGAGUUAGAGCAUAUACUCAGCAUGUGGGUGAUCACUAUUCUGCUCAGUCCUGCUGGGCCCCAUGUCCACAGAUCAUUUCAGCGCCCCACAUGGCCGGCCCCUCCGCUCUGGAAGGAAUAUUCUCAAAUCCUAUUGUGAAUACACUUGCAGUGCUUUCUUUGGCUUGGAGUCUGAGC
RNAcentral lists this long non-coding RNA (2904 nucleotides) under Sus scrofa (pig). RNAcentral describes it as "lncRNA (ENSSSCG00040032243.1)". The record is from RNAcentral. Lineage: Eukaryota; Metazoa; Chordata; Mammalia; Artiodactyla; Suidae.